Molecule: ribosomal RNA, 423 nt
Filed under: uncultured bacterium
Lineage: Bacteria
Description: bacterial SSU rRNA
Rfam family: Bacterial small subunit ribosomal RNA
Source: RNAcentral
GGGCUCACACAAGCGGUGGAACAUGUGGUUUAAUUCGACGCAACGCGAAGAACCUUACCUGGGUUUGACAUCCCCGGCCGACACCAGAGAUGGUGUUUUCUCUUCGGAGACCGGGUGACAGGUGCUGCAUGGCUGUCGUCAGCUCGUGUCGUGAGAUGUUGGGUUAAGUCCCGCAACGAGCGCAACCCUUGCCCUCAGUUGCCAGCAGUUCGGCUGGGCACUCUGGGGGACUGCCGGUGACAAGCCGGAGGAAGGUGGGGAUGACGUCAAGUCCUCAUGGCCUUUAUAUCCAGGGCUGCACACGUCCUACAAUGGUACGGACAAACGGACGCGAAACCGCGAGGUGGAGCAAAUCCUAGAAACCGUGCCUCAGUUCGGAUUGCAGGCUGCAACUCGCCUGCAUGAAGCCGGAAUCGCUAGUAA